GAUGAACGCUGGCGGCGUGCCUAAUACAUGCAAGUCGAGCGAACGGACGAGAAGCUUGCUUUUCUGAUGUUAGCGGCGGACGGGUGAGUAACACGUGGAUAACCUACCUAUAAGACUGGGAUAACUUCGGGAAACCGGAGCUAAUACCGGAUAAUAUUUUGAACCGCAUGGUUCAAAAGUGAAAGACGGUCUUGCUGUCACUUAUAGAUGGAUCCGCGCUGCAUUAGCUAGUUGGUAAGGUAACGGCUUACCAAGGCAACGAUACAUAGCCGACCUGAGAGGGUGAUCGGCCACACUGGAACUGAGACACGGUCCAGACUCCUACGGGAGGCAGCAGUAGGGAAUCUUCCGCAAAGGGCGAAAGCCUGACGGAGCAACGCCGCGUGAGUGAUGAAGGUCUUCGGAUCGUAAAACUCUGUUAUUAGGGAAGAACAUAUGUGUAAGUAACUGUGCACAUCUUGACGGUACCUAAUCAGAAAGCCACGGCUAACUACGUG
This 497-nucleotide ribosomal RNA is filed under the name uncultured bacterium. RNAcentral describes it as "partial 16S ribosomal RNA". It matches the Rfam family "Bacterial small subunit ribosomal RNA", at positions 28 to 507 of the family's 1533-position model. The record is from RNAcentral.